UCGAGCUCACUUUGGCAACACAUACACUAACACCGUACAGAGAAGGUUAAUGUGGCCCCUGUACAAGGAUGACAUGCAAACUGGUGAGGCAUUUCCAUAUUUU
Mesoplodon densirostris (Blainville's beaked whale) is the source of this 103-nucleotide small nuclear RNA. The record is from RefSeq and is a predicted model, not a curated record. NCBI's taxonomy places the organism in Eukaryota, Metazoa, Chordata, Mammalia, Artiodactyla, Ziphiidae.